GACGAACGCUGGCGGCGUGCUUAACACAUGCAAGUCGAACGGGCCUGCCUGGCUUUGGUUGGGUGGGUGAGUGGCGAACGGGUGAGUAACACGUGAGUAACCUGCCCUCUUCUCUUGGAUAACUGCUUGAAAGGGCGGCUAAUACGGGAUGUUCUGGCUGCCUCGCAUGGGGUGGUUUGGAAAGAUUCGGCCUGGUUUUGGUUGUUUUGGUGGGGGAUGGGCUCGCGGCUUAUCAGCUUGUUGGUGGGGUGAUGGCCUACCAAGGCGGUGACGGGUAGCCGGCCUGAGAGGGUGGACGGUCACACUGGGACUGAGACACGGCCCAGACUCCUCGGGAGGCAGCAGUGGGGGAUUUUGCACAAUGGGCGCAAGCCUGAUGCAGCGACGCCGCGUGAGGGAUGGAGGCCUUCGGGUUGUGAACCUCUGUCGCCGGUGAUGUAGGCUCUGCUUUGUGGGUGGGGUGACG
Molecule: ribosomal RNA, 466 nt
Filed under: Actinomyces sp. oral taxon 448
Lineage: Bacteria; Bacillati; Actinomycetota; Actinomycetes; Actinomycetales; Actinomycetaceae
Description: bacterial SSU rRNA
Rfam family: Bacterial small subunit ribosomal RNA
Source: RNAcentral